This is a long non-coding RNA of Mustela lutreola (European mink), 497 nucleotides long. RefSeq lists it as uncharacterized. NCBI's taxonomy places the organism in Eukaryota, Metazoa, Chordata, Mammalia, Carnivora, Mustelidae. The transcript has 5 exons. The record is from RefSeq and is a predicted model, not a curated record.
AUCAGGUUGGAUUAGCCGACGCUGCAUAGAAGAGCCCUUGCCUGAAUUACAGAAUUAAGCCCUGCAAAGACCUUUCCUUCUACCCACAAGCCCUGGCCCUGGAUGACUUGAAGUCUUCUCCAGAUGAUUCAGCAUAUUCCCGGCCUUUCUCUGCGCAGAGGUGAUUUAUCGUGAGCUCUGCGGGGCCUGCCGAGGAAGGGAGACUGGACACAUGGACUGGUAUUAGACAGAUCUGUUCAUCACCUAUGAAGGCUGGAGGCUAAAUAUCUGGGGCAAGGACAUAGACGCUUUGGAAGACGUGUCAAAAGAUUUGCGGGCGUGUUUGAAAGUGCCCUGGAUGAUGCUGAUGAGCUGGUCCUGCCCUCUGUACCACACUGGAGACUUUCUGAUGACAACAUUAAGAAUGAAACCUGAGGGUUCCUGAUAGUACCACUGGUGAGUUUAUUAGGGGGAAAGCCCAGCUCUAAGAGUCGCACGUUAUUUGAAUGACAACUUGA